AUGAGCCCAGGGAUGGUGUUGAACUGCCUCCGCACUUCCUCCACCAUCUUGAGAGCCGCGCUUCCAACACUCUUCAUGGUCAUUGCAGAGAACCAGUACGGGAGCAUGGCACCAACAAGGAGGCCAAUGAAAACGUUUGGUGUCAGAACAUCAACAGUUGUGAUCCCGGCACGGCUCACAAAGGCACCGAAGAGAGCAAGGGACACCAGGGCAGCCGAGCCAAUUAUUGUAUACCUUUCCAAUGGCAGCAGUUGUGUUUCCUGCAGCAUCCAGAGCAUCAGUUCUCUCACGGAUUCUGUGGCUCAUGCCAGCCAUUUCAGCGAUGCCUCCAGCGUUGUCACUGAUAGGGCCAUAGGCAUCAAUGGCAAGACCGGUCGCAAUUGUGCUGAGCAUUCCAAGAGCAGCCACAGCCACACCAUACAUCGCGGCAAGGCUGAAGCUGAGGAAAAUACUGAAGGCAAUGGCGAAGAUAGGGAUAAUAACUGA
Molecule: ribosomal RNA, 486 nt
Filed under: Triticum aestivum (bread wheat)
Lineage: Eukaryota; Viridiplantae; Streptophyta; Magnoliopsida; Poales; Poaceae
Description: partial small subunit ribosomal RNA
Source: RNAcentral